RNAcentral lists this ribosomal RNA (816 nucleotides) under Streptomyces sp. SID8499. RNAcentral's name for it is "partial 23S ribosomal RNA". It matches the Rfam family "Bacterial large subunit ribosomal RNA", at positions 2116 to 2925 of the family's 2925-position model. Lineage: Bacteria; Bacillati; Actinomycetota; Actinomycetes; Kitasatosporales; Streptomycetaceae. The record is from RNAcentral.
AUUGGUGUUCGGUUCGGCUUGUGUAGGAUAGCUGGGAGACUGUGAAGCAUGCACGCCAGUGUGUGUGGAGUCGUCGUUGAAAUACCAGUCUGGUCGUGCUGGAUGUCUAACCUGGGUCCGUGAUCCGGAUCAGGGACAGUGUCUGAUGGGUAGUUUAACUGGGGCGGUUGCCUCCUAAAGAGUAACGGAGGCGCCCAAAGGUUCCCUCAGCCUGGUUGGCAAUCAGGUGUUGAGUGUAAGUGCACAAGGGAGCUUGACUGUGAGACCGACGGGUCGAGCAGGGACGAAAGUCGGGACUAGUGAUCCGGCGGUGGCUUGUGGAAGCGCCGUCGCUCAACGGAUAAAAGGUACCCCGGGGAUAACAGGCUGAUCUUCCCCAAGAGUCCAUAUCGACGGGAUGGUUUGGCACCUCGAUGUCGGCUCGUCGCAUCCUGGGGCUGGAGUCGGUCCCAAGGGUUGGGCUGUUCGCCCAUUAAAGCGGUACGCGAGCUGGGUUUAGAACGUCGUGAGACAGUUCGGUCCCUAUCCGCUGUGCGCGUAGGAGUCUUGAGAAGGGCUGUCCCUAGUACGAGAGGACCGGGACGGACGAACCUCUGGUGUGCCAGUUGUUCUGCCAAGGGCAUGGCUGGUUGGCUACGUUCGGGAGGGAUAACCGCUGAAAGCAUCUAAGCGGGAAGCCUGCUUCGAGAUGAGGACUCCCACCCACUUGAUGGGGUAAGGCUCCCAGUAGACGACUGGGUUGAUAGGCCGGAUCUGGAAGCACGGUAACGUGUGGAGGUGACCGGUACUAAUAGGCCGAGGGCUUGUCCUCAGUUG